RNAcentral lists this ribosomal RNA (995 nucleotides) under uncultured bacterium. Its description in RNAcentral is "bacterial SSU rRNA". It matches the Rfam family "Bacterial small subunit ribosomal RNA", at positions 28 to 1017 of the family's 1533-position model. The record is from RNAcentral.
AUUGAACGCUGGCGGCAGGCUUAACACAUGCAAGUCGAGCGGAGAUGAGGUGCUUGCACCUAAUCUUAGCGGCGGACGGGUGAGUAAUGCUUAGGAAUCUGCCAUUUAGUGGGGGACAACAUUCCGAAAGGGAUGCUAAUACCGCAUACGCCCUACGGGGGAAAGCAGGGGAUCUUCGGACCUUGCGCUAAAUGAUGAGCCUAAGUCGGAUUAGCUAGUUGGUGGGGUAAAGGCCUACCAAGGCGACGAUCUGUAGCGGGUCUGAGAGGAUGAUCCGCCACACUGGGACUGAGACACGGCCCAGACUCCUACGGGAGGCAGCAGUGGGGAAUAUUGGACAAUGGGCGGAAGCCUGAUCCAGCCAUGCCGCGUGUGUGAAGAAGGCCUUUUGGUUGUAAAGCACUUUAAGCGAGGAGGAGGCUACCUGGAUUAAUACUCUGGGAUAGUGGACGUUACUCGCAGAAUAAGCACCGGCUAACUCUGUGCCAGCAGCCGCGGUAAUACAGAGGGUGCGAGCGUUAAUCGGAUUUACUGGGCGUAAAGCGUGCGUAGGCGGCUGAUUAAGUCGGAUGUGAAAUCCCUGAGCUUAACUUAGGAAUUGCAUUCGAUACUGGUCAGCUAGAGUAUGGGAGAGGAUGGUAGAAUUCCAGGUGUAGCGGUGAAAUGCGUAGAGAUCUGGAGGAAUACCGAUGGCGAAGGCAGCCAUCUGGCCUAAUACUGACGCUGAGGUACGAAAGCAUGGGGAGCAAACAGGAUUAGAUACCCUGGUAGUCCAUGCCGUAAACGAUGUCUACUAGCCGUUGGGGCCUUUGAGGCUUUAGUGGCGCAGCUAACGCGAUAAGUAGACCGCCUGGGGAGUACGGUCGCAAGACUAAAACUCAAAUGAAUUGACGGGGGCCCGCACAAGCGGUGGAGCAUGUGGUUUAAUUCGAUGCAACGCGAAGAACCUUACCUGGCCUUGACAUACUAGAAACUUUCCAGAGAUGGAUUGGUGC